RNAcentral lists this unclassified non-coding RNA (529 nucleotides) under Hevea brasiliensis (rubber tree). The record is from RNAcentral. Lineage: Eukaryota; Viridiplantae; Streptophyta; Magnoliopsida; Malpighiales; Euphorbiaceae.
GAUAUCAUCUUUUUAAUUUUGAUAAAUUGCAAAUGUAACAACGGGACACUAUUGUUGGCAUAUAUGGAAUCUGAACCGUGAAAAGUGAUGUUACAUUAUACUGGCAUGAGUUUUUUAUGUUCCUGAUGACACAUACCUAAUUAUAUGAUAUUAAAUGGUUUUAGAUAAUGUAUAAAGACAUAUGAAAGUAGAAAACACUCCGUCUUCUAGGCAUUUGAGACCCAUAGCUAUACAUAUAUUUGUGGAUAGUAUUGUCUAUUACAUUUUGGACAGUAAUAGAGUUUGUAUAUGAAUUAUCAAUGGUCAAAGGUCAAUUGAAAAUAGAGCUCUUAAAGCAGACGCUAUUAUUUUGUGCCAUGGUAGUACUAGGUGAAGGAGCUUCGCUUUGGGGUCUUUUUGUCCGUCGCUUGGGAGUUGCUCUUAGUGCACCUAAGCAUGGCCUUUGCAAUAGUAUAUCAAGCAAAACUACAAUUAGAGCUUAUCACAGCCAUGGAAUGUGUAUUGUUGGAAGAACUCAUUGGCAUCUAAC